AGCAGCCGCGGUAAUUCCAGCUCCAAUAGCGUAUAUUAAAGUUGUUGCAGUUAAAAAGCUCGUAGUUGAAUUUCGGGAUCAAUAUGUUGGUCGUGCCUUGGUGCGCACUGGCAUCGUUGGUUUCUACCUUCUGAUGAACCAUGAUGCCAUUAAUUUGGUGCUAUGGGGAAUCAGGACUGUUACUUUGAAAAAUUAGAGUGUUUAAAGCAGGCUCACGCUUGAAUACAUUAGCAUGGAAUAAUGAAAUAGGACGUUUGAUUCUAUUUUGUUGGUUUCUAGGAUCGACGUAAUGAUUAAUAGGGAUAGUUGGGGGCAUUAGUAUUCAAUUGUCAGAGGUGAAAUUCUUGGAUUUAUUGAAGACUAACUACUGCGAAAGCAUUUUGCCAAG
This 388-nucleotide ribosomal RNA is filed under the name uncultured Glomus. Its description in RNAcentral is "SSU rRNA". It matches the Rfam family "Eukaryotic small subunit ribosomal RNA", at positions 569 to 962 of the family's 1831-position model. Lineage: Eukaryota; Fungi; Glomeromycota; Glomeromycetes; Glomerales; Glomeraceae. The record is from RNAcentral.